CGCUGAACCGCGACAUAUAGUUUGAAAAUAAUUUCAAAAAUGCCAUUUAGGAUAAUUUUUUAAAUCAGUAUAUGCCGCGGUUGGGAGUGAAACCGCGACAUAUACCCCUUUUAUACCGCGGGUAAGUAGUGAACCGCGGUAGAUUCCCCAGUUCAGAGUUAAAAAACAAAACUUGGAACAGUGAUCGUCUUCUUCGCGUGCUCUGUUCGCGUUUUCUUCUCCUCCGACAGCCAUCAUCUCAGUUUUAGCCGAUCAAAAUCGUUUGAAACUCG
RNAcentral lists this small RNA (272 nucleotides) under Vigna angularis var. angularis. RNAcentral describes it as "Non-protein coding transcript". The record is from RNAcentral. Lineage: Eukaryota; Viridiplantae; Streptophyta; Magnoliopsida; Fabales; Fabaceae.